GGCAAGAAAUGCAGUGUUCGAGCCCUAUGAGGAGCUGAAACUCAGAACCUGGGAGUUGCUCAGCAUGGAGUGCUAACUACCUCCCAGCUGCCGACCAGACCAUGUGUCCUACACUUACUAACGUGUAAGCAAGAACUUCAUAGAGCACAAUUAGUCAACAUUGCGACUGCCAUCUCUCCACCUGACACUGACCAGGCAGGAGGUCACGACACAGGUCAAGCACCGAGAUAACCGCUAUGAAAAUACCCAUAACAUGUAGAAGAGAAAAGAUGGAGUCGGGGUGCAGGUCCUUGGAAAGAAGAGGGGUACACAGCAGCCCAGGCAGAAAGUGAGUCACAUUUUGAACAGCCUCUAUCUGGGCUUUUCCCAAGCUUUAUUGAGUUAUA
Long non-coding RNA from Suricata suricatta (meerkat), 386 nucleotides. RefSeq lists it as uncharacterized. The transcript has 3 exons. The record is from RefSeq and is a predicted model, not a curated record. NCBI's taxonomy places the organism in Eukaryota, Metazoa, Chordata, Mammalia, Carnivora, Herpestidae.